GAUGAACGCUAGCGGCAGGCUUAACACAUGCAAGUCGAGGGGCAGCACGGGUAGCAAUACCUGGUGGCGACCGGCGCAAGGGUGCGUAACGCGUGAGCAACAUGCCCUAUACAGGGGGAUAAUCCAGGGAAACUUGGUCUAAUAUCCCAUAGUAUUUAGAGGAGGCAUCUUCUAUAAAUUAAAGCUUCGGUGGUAUAGGAUUGGCUCGCGUGACAUUAGCUAGAUGGUGAGGUAACGGCUCACCAUGGCAAUGAUGUCUAGGGGUUCUGAGAGGAAGGCCCCCACCACUGGGACUGAGACACGGCCCACGACUCCUACGGGAGGCAGCAGUGAGGAAUAUUGGUCAAUGGGCGGCAAGCCUGAACCAGCCAUCCGCGUGCAGGAAGACGGCCCUAUGGGUUGUAAACUGCUUUUCCAGGGAGAGAAACUUACGCACGUGUUGCGUGACUGACGGUACCCUGGGAAUAAGCAUCGGCUAACUCCGUGCC
This 488-nucleotide ribosomal RNA is filed under the name uncultured bacterium. RNAcentral describes it as "bacterial SSU rRNA". It matches the Rfam family "Bacterial small subunit ribosomal RNA", at positions 28 to 509 of the family's 1533-position model. The record is from RNAcentral.